ACGUUUGUCCAACUUCCCAGUCAUUAAACUAAAUCAUGUCCAACUUUAAGUGUGAUGGAUGGUUCUUUUUCAUUUCUAUUGUUUUGAAGAUAUAGUCCUGCUUUUUCAAAGA
Sphaeramia orbicularis (orbiculate cardinalfish) is the source of this 112-nucleotide long non-coding RNA. RefSeq lists it as uncharacterized. NCBI's taxonomy places the organism in Eukaryota, Metazoa, Chordata, Actinopteri, Kurtiformes, Apogonidae. The transcript is spliced from 3 exons. The record is from RefSeq and is a predicted model, not a curated record.